CAAUAGCGUAUAUUAAAGUUGUUGCAGUUAAGAAGCUCGUAGUUGGAUUUCUGGUUGAAGCGACCGGUCGGGCGUUGAUUCGUCUGCACUGGAGUCGGUUUUGGCCAUCCUCUAGGAAAGUGCGUCUGGUAUUAAGUUAUCGGGCGUAUGAUCCUGGUCUUUUACUGUGAAAAAAUUAGAGUGUUUAAAGCAGGCCUUCGCCUUGAAUACAUUAGCAUGGAAUAAUAAGAUAGGACUUUGGUCUAUUUUGUUGGUUUGCAGACCGAAGUAAUGAUUAAUAGGGAUAGUUGGGGGUAUUUAUAUUCCGAUGUCAGAGGUGAAAUUCUUAGAUUUUCGGAAGAUAAACUUAUGCGAAAGCAUUUACCAAGGAUGUUUUCAUUAA
Molecule: ribosomal RNA, 382 nt
Filed under: uncultured eukaryote
Lineage: Eukaryota
Description: partial 18S ribosomal RNA
Rfam family: Eukaryotic small subunit ribosomal RNA
Source: RNAcentral